AUGGGCGGCGACCGGCAAACGGGUGCGGAACACGUACGCAAUCUACCCAUAACUGAUGAAUAGCCCUCCGAAAGGAGGAUUAAUACAUCGUAACACCUUAGAGUGGCAUCACUUUAUGAUUAUAGCUCCGGCGGUUUUGGAUGAGCGUGCGCCUGAUUAGGUAGUUGGCGGGGUAACGGCCCACCAAGCCUGCGAUCAGUAACUGGUGUGAGAGCACGACCAGUCACACGGGCACUGAGACACGGGCCCGACUCCUACGGGAGGCAGCAGUAAGGAAUAUUGGUCAAUGGACGCAAGUCUGAACCAGCCAUGCCGCGUGAAGGAUGAAGGUCCUCUGGAUUGUAAACUUCUUUUAUAGGGGAAGAAACCGGAAAAUUCUUUUUCCGUUGACGGUACCCUGGGAAUAAGCACCGGCUAACUCCGUGCCAGCAGCCGCGGUAAUACGGAGGGUGCAAGCGUUAUCCGGAUUCACUGGGUUUAAAGGGUGCGUAGGUGGGUUUGUAAGUCCGUGGUGAAAUCUCCAAGCUUAACUUGGAAACCGCCGUGGAUACUAUAAAUCUUGAAUGCUGUGGAGGUGAGCGGAAUAUGUCAUGUAGCGGUGAAAUGCUUAGAUAUGACAUAGAACACCAAUUGCGAAGGCAGCUCACUACACAGAUAUUGACACUGAGGCACGAAAGCGUGGGGAUCAAACAGGAUUAGAUACCCUGGUAGUCCACGCCCUAAACUAUGGAUACUCGACAUACGCGAUACACUGUGUGUGUCUGAGCGAAAGCAUUAAGUAUCCCACCUGGGAAGUACGACCGCAAGGUUGAAACUCAAAGGAAUUGACGGGGGCCCGCACAAGCGGUGGAGCAUGUGGUUUAAUUCGAAGCAACGCGCAGAACCUUACCAGCCCUUGACAUGGGUCGGACCGGCGCAGAGAUGCGCUUUCCCCGCAAGGGGCCGACUGCACAGGUGCUGCAUGGCUGUCGUCAGCUCGUGUCGUGAGAUGUUGGGUUAAGUCCCGCAACGAGCGCAACCCUCGCCUUUAGUUGCCAGCAUGUUUGGGUGGGCACUCUAGAGGAACUGCCGGUGACAAGCCGGAGGAAGGUGGGGAUGACGUCAAGUCCUCAUGGCCCUUAUGGGCUGGGCUACACACGUGCUACAAUGGCGGUGACAGUGGGACGCCAGGUCGCAAGGCCGAGCCGAUCCCCAAAAGCCGUCUCAGUUCGGAUUGCACUCUGCAACUCGGGUGCAUGAAGGUGGAAUCGCUAGUAAUCGUGGAUCAGCACGCCA
Molecule: ribosomal RNA, 1275 nt
Filed under: uncultured Bacteroidota bacterium
Lineage: Bacteria; Pseudomonadati; Bacteroidota
Description: SSU rRNA
Rfam family: Bacterial small subunit ribosomal RNA
Source: RNAcentral